This is a long non-coding RNA of Gadus morhua (Atlantic cod), 541 nucleotides long. RefSeq lists it as uncharacterized. The record is from RefSeq and is a predicted model, not a curated record. The transcript has 2 exons. NCBI's taxonomy places the organism in Eukaryota, Metazoa, Chordata, Actinopteri, Gadiformes, Gadidae.
CACGUGCCUUUAUUCACUGGAAGUCUUUCUGCACUUCAUUUGAUUGCGUUGUCUCCUUUAUUCUAACUCGGUCUCUGUUUCAGUUUGUGCCAGAAAACCCCCUGGCGUCUCUCAGGAAAACAGACCUUUAUUACCGCAACAUGAGGAUGAAAACUAUAGCCAUGUAUUUUAUGCUGUGAUGAAAACUCCACAAAAAUAAGGAUCUCACAGCUUCUUCGUUUGCAGUACGAGUGGGCUUUGAGAGGCGGAUUGGUUAGAGUUCCUCCCUCCACAACACACGCAGCCCAACGCACACACAUAGACUCACUCACAACAACAAACAAACACACAGUCGUACACACAAACACACAUGAAUUGAAAUUCCCUUGUGUUUGAAGGUAUUUUGAUGCCUUGAAAUUAGUACAACUUGGAUUGAUUUACAAUAUGUUACACAGAAAACAUUGAAAUAUGCAUUUGUAUAUUGUUUUAUACCCAAAAGUAACCUGUCUAUUAUAUGUUUUCAUUAAAUGUAUAAACAAAUCAAUAAAAUCCAAAGAUGUUG